Molecule: ribosomal RNA, 254 nt
Filed under: uncultured bacterium
Lineage: Bacteria
Description: partial 16S ribosomal RNA
Rfam family: Bacterial small subunit ribosomal RNA
Source: RNAcentral
UACGGAGGAGGCAAGCGUUAUCCGGAAUUAUUGGGCGUAAAGCGUCCGUAGGUGGUUUAGUAAGUCUGCUGUUAAAGCGCGGGGCUUAACUCCGUAUCGGCAGUGGAAACUACUAGACUAGAGUGUGGUAGGGGUAGAGGGAAUUCCCAGUGUAGCGGUGAAAUGCGUAGAUAUCAAGAGGAACACCUGAGGUGAAGACGGGUUGCUGGGCCGACACUGACGCUGAGUGCGCGAAAGCCAGGGGAGCAAACGGG